RNAcentral lists this small RNA (230 nucleotides) under Microcebus murinus (gray mouse lemur). Its description in RNAcentral is "7SK RNA (ENSMICG00000026167.3)". The stretch from base 1 to 184 matches the Rfam family "7SK RNA". From Rfam's summary of the family: 7SK was discovered as an abundant small nuclear RNA in the mid-70s but a possible function has only recently been suggested. Two independent studies have found that 7SK RNA binds the CDK9/cyclin T complex (known as elongation factor P-TEFb). P-TEFb activates transcription by phosphorylating the C-terminal domain of RNA polymerase II. Lineage: Eukaryota; Metazoa; Chordata; Mammalia; Primates; Cheirogaleidae. The record is from RNAcentral.
GAAUGUGAAUGACUUCUGACUACAACACCCAUCUCCCAGGUGAUUUUAGGUUGAUUUUCUCACCUGGAUGGCUAGAAGGGAGUUCUUAAUCCCUAAUAAUUCCAAGUGGAGCCCUGCAAAAGCUGAGAACUUGGUCAAAAAUGGAAAACCUUCCAAAAUAAAGGAGGCCCUGUCUUCUGUCAGAAAAUAAGUUUCAGAUAAGUGGAGGUGAGGGAGGAGUCCCUUUUGCU